UUCCGGUUGAUCCUGCCGGACCUGACUGCUAUCGGAUUGAUACUAAGCCAUGCGAGUCAUUGUAGCAGUACAAGGCAGACGGCUCAUUAACGCGUAGUCAAUCUACCCUAUGGACGGGAAUAACCUCGGGAAACUGAGAAUAAUGCCCGAUAGAACAUUAUGCCUGGAAUGGUUUAUGUUUCAAAUGAUUUAUCGCCAUAGGAUGGGACUGCGGCCUAUCAGUUUGUUGGUGAGGUAAUGGCCCACCAAGACUAUUACAGGUACGGGCUCUGAGAGGAGUGGCCCGGAGAUGGGUACUGAGACCCGGACCCAGGCCCUAUGGGGCGCAGCAGGCGAGAAAACUUUGCAAUGUGCGAAAGCACGACGAGGUUAAUCCGAGUGGUUUCUGCUAAAGAAACCUUUUGUCAGUCCUAGAAACACUAACGAAUAAGGGGUGGGCAAGUUCUGGUGUCAGCCGCCGCGGUAAAACCAGCACCUCAAGUGGUCAGGAUGAUUAUUGGGCCUAAAGCAUCCGUAGCUCGUUUUGUAAGUUUUCGGUUAAAUCCAUACGCUUAACGUAUGGGCUGCCGGGAAUACUGCAUAACUAGGAAGUGGGAGAGGUAGACGGUACUCGGUAGGAAGGGGUAAAAUCCUUUGAUCUAUUGAUGACCACCUGUGGCGAAGGCGGUCUACCAGAACACGUUCGACGGUGAGGGAUGAAAGCUGGGGGAGCAAACCGGAUUAGAUACCCGGGUAGUCCCAGCUGUAAACUAUGCAAACUCAGUGAUGCAUUGGCUUGUGGCCAAUGCAGUGCUGCAGGGAAGCCGUUAAGUUUGCCGCCUGGGAAGUACGUACGCAAGUAUGAAACUUAAAGGAAUUGGCGGGGGAGCACCACAA
RNAcentral lists this ribosomal RNA (876 nucleotides) under uncultured Nitrososphaerota archaeon. RNAcentral describes it as "bacterial SSU rRNA". It matches the Rfam family "Archaeal small subunit ribosomal RNA", at positions 1 to 884 of the family's 1478-position model. The record is from RNAcentral. Lineage: Archaea; Thermoproteati; Nitrososphaerota.